RNAcentral lists this ribosomal RNA (99 nucleotides) under uncultured bacterium. RNAcentral's name for it is "partial 16S ribosomal RNA". It matches the Rfam family "Bacterial small subunit ribosomal RNA", at positions 1386 to 1482 of the family's 1533-position model. The record is from RNAcentral.
CACACCGCCCGUCAAGCCAUGGAAGCCUGGAGCGCCCGAAGUCCGUGACCCGACUCGCAAGAGAGGGAGCGGCCGAAGGCGAGCCCGGUGACUGGGGCU